GACGAACGCUGGCGGCGCGCUUAACACAUGCAAGUCGAGCGAUAACCAUGGCUUCGGCCAUGGGGAGAGCGGCGAACGGGUGAGUAACACGUGAGUAAUCUGCCCUCGACACUGGGAUAGCCCGGGGAAACCCGGAUUAAUACCGGAUAGCCUCUCGAGCCUUCGGGCUCGUGAGAAAGGAUGGCUUCGGCUUUCGGUUGAGGAGGAGCUUGCGGCGGAUUAGCUUGNGGUGAGGUAACGGCCCACCAAGGCGACGAUCCGUAGCUGGUCUGAGAGGACGAUCAGCCACACUGGGACUGAGACACAGCCCAGACUCCUACGGGAGGCAGCAGUGGGGAAUCUUGCGCAAUGGGCGAAAGCCUGACGCAGCGACGCCGCGUGAGGGAAGAAGG
This 392-nucleotide ribosomal RNA is filed under the name uncultured bacterium. RNAcentral describes it as "bacterial SSU rRNA". It matches the Rfam family "Bacterial small subunit ribosomal RNA", at positions 28 to 414 of the family's 1533-position model. The record is from RNAcentral.